UACGUAGGGUGCAAGCGUUGUCCGGAAUUAUUGGGCGUAGAGAGCUCGUAGGCGGUCUGUCGCGUCUGGUGUGAAAACUCAGGGCUUAACCCUGAGCUUGCAUCGGGUACGGGCAGACUAGAGUGCGGUAGGGGAGACUGGAAUUCCUGGUGUAGCGGUGAAAAUGCGCAGAUAUCAGGAGGAACACCGGUGGCGAAGGCGAUCUUCUGGACGGAUACUGACGCUGAGGCGCGAAAGCUAGGGGAGCAAACGGG
Molecule: ribosomal RNA, 254 nt
Filed under: uncultured bacterium
Lineage: Bacteria
Description: partial 16S ribosomal RNA
Rfam family: Bacterial small subunit ribosomal RNA
Source: RNAcentral